Molecule: unclassified non-coding RNA, 253 nt
Filed under: uncultured Gammaproteobacteria bacterium
Lineage: Bacteria; Pseudomonadati; Pseudomonadota; Gammaproteobacteria
Description: contains 16S-23S intergenic spacer region
Rfam family: Bacterial small subunit ribosomal RNA
Source: RNAcentral
UACGGAGGGUGCAAGCGUUAAUCGGAAUUACUGGGCGUAAAGCGCACGCAGGCGGUCUGUCAAGUCGGAUGUGAAAUCCCCGGGCUCAACCUGGGAACUGCAUCCGAAACUGGCAGGCUAGAGUAUGGCAGAGGAGUGUGGAAUUUCCGGUGUAGCGGUGAAAUGCGUAGAUAUCGGAAGGAACACCAGUGGCGAAGGCGACUCUCUGGUCUGUAACUGACGCUGAGGCGCGAAAGCGUGGGGAGCAAACAGG